This 502-nucleotide ribosomal RNA is filed under the name uncultured bacterium. RNAcentral describes it as "bacterial SSU rRNA". It matches the Rfam family "Bacterial small subunit ribosomal RNA", at positions 9 to 507 of the family's 1533-position model. The record is from RNAcentral.
GAGUUUGAUCCUGGCUCAGAUUGAACGCUGGCGGCAGGCCUAACACAUGCAAGUCGAGCGGUAGAGAGAAGCUUGCUUCUCUUGAGAGCGGCGGACGGGUGAGUAAUGCCUAGGAAUCUGCCUGGUAGUGGGGGAUAACGCUCGGAAACGGACGCUAAUACCGCAUACGUCCUACGGGAGAAAGCAGGGGACCUUCGGGCCUUGCGCUAUCAGAUGAGCCUAGGUCGGAUUAGCUAGUUGGUGAGGUAAUGGCUCACCAAGGCGACGAUCCGUAACUGGUCUGAGAGGAUGAUCAGUCACACUGGAACUGAGACACGGUCCAGACUCCUACGGGAGGCAGCAGUGGGGAAUAUUGGACAAUGGGCGAAAGCCUGAUCCAGCCAUGCCGCGUGUGUGAAGAAGGUCUUCGGAUUGUAAAGCACUUUAAGUUGGGAGGAAGGGCAGUAAAUUAAUACUUUGCUGUUUGACGUUACCGACAGAAUAAGCACCGGCUAACUCUGUG